Gambusia affinis (western mosquitofish) is the source of this 5730-nucleotide RNA transcript. It is a transcript of the gene named zinc finger protein, with no coding region annotated. NCBI's taxonomy places the organism in Eukaryota, Metazoa, Chordata, Actinopteri, Cyprinodontiformes, Poeciliidae. The transcript is spliced from 7 exons. The record is from RefSeq and is a predicted model, not a curated record.
CGCCCACACCUGCUGCACUUUAGCGUCUGAUUUGCCAUAAUACUCAAGAUUUAGAAAAUAAGGGGAAUUAACAGCGGGAGUUCGUGACAAACAUUAGAAGCGCAAAAUUCUACCUCAGUGUCAGGUUAUCGCUGGGAAUGUUAGGCGAUUUUCCUUUCUGUUUAUAUGAGCUGCUAUUGACGUGGGUGAACCAAGCGGAGACCCGCUCCGUGGACCGGAGCUCACAUUCACUCACUGAACAAAUCGAGCAUUGAGCGUGGACUCUAUCGCACACGCCGUGUAAGCCGAGAGCGCUUUGUGUCUUUCAUUCAUCCCGGUGAAGGCUGCCGCUUCCCCUCACACUUUCAGCUCGUCCUCCUCCUCUUCUUCCUUCCCCUCUUCCCCUCUUCCCUCACGCCGGGAGAGAACUACUCUCCGUCUGUGGCUUUACGGUCCGAGUUAAGUGGAUAAUAGCAACAGAGCUCGGUGCUCCUCUUACCUCCUGCGCGGUACCGCGGACCAGAUAAGUCGCCGGGGGACAAGCGCAUCACGACGUAAAGCAGCGGAAAAAGGAGUUAGUUAUUUUUAUUUUUCAUUUUCUCAGAGCACACGACGGGGUUUAAAGCGAGAUAUACGAUAGAAAUAUUUAUCUGGAUGAAGCGGAGUCUCCCUGAGUUCUGACGGAUUUUAAGGAACAGGUGCGAUACAGGAAUACAGACAGGACAGCUGGCGGAUGGUUGUCGGUUUCGAGGAGAGAAGUCUCUGCCUCUGCGCAAGGAUCAGAUGAAGAUGAAGUCUGCGGGCGUCGUGGAUGGAGGUUUAUUCACAGAGAGCUAUUGCAACAUCUGCAAUGCUCAGCUCAUCUCCGAGUCCCAGCGCACCGCUCACUAUGAGAGUAAGAAACACGCUAACAAGGUGCGUCUGUUCUACAUGCUUCAUCCUGAAGAUGGAGGACCACCUUCCAAAAGGCUGAGGCCAGAUAAUCCAGACUGUGCAGAAACAGAAGUAGACAGAAACAAGUGUUGUACCUUGUGCAACAUGUUCUUCACCUCCGCCAUUGUGGCCCAGUCCCACUACCAAGGGAAAACCCAUGCCAAGAGAGUGCGCCUAGUGCUUGGGGAACCACCAAACCUACCCACAGCCAUAACCAGCCCUAGAAACACAGAUUCCUCACCUUCCACCCCGCUACCCACAGAUCCCAACGCUUCCCCUGCCUUACCCUGGCCAACGCCAGAGCUCAGUGGAAACGGUGGCAGAGAGGCUGGGAAGUACUGCUGCCUGUGCGGAGCCUGGUUCAACAACCCUCUGAUGGCCCAGCAGCACUACGAGGGGAAGAAACAUCGCAGAAAUGCUGCCAGGGCCCGCCUCCUGGAGCAGCUAGCAGGCAGUCUGGAUGCCACAGAGAGCACAGGUCAGCCUCCAGAGUCCCCACUCAACUUGUUGACAACCGUGGCUUGUGAGGGCGUUACAAUGAACGAGGUUAAGGCUGCGCAGUAGUUACUCUUGCAGCGUCUGCAGUGUGGUCCUUAACUCCAUCGAACAGUACCAUGCACAUCUCCAGGGCUCCAAGCACCAGAACAACCUAAAGCAACACCAGCAGUAAGUCAGACCACACGGGAUAGAAGAAGCAACGAAGACAGAUUGGGAUAAACAACUCCAGAAAAAAAGAAAAAAAGGACUUGGUGCCAGAAAGUAGUGCAGAUUAACCGCAGAGUCUAUGCUUGCGUGUGGGGGUGCGUGCGUGUGCGUGUGUGUAUAGGUGUGUGUCGUGGGCAUCUAUGCACAUAUCUAAAGUGAGUGCAUGUAGGGAAUAAAGGUGUGUUCAUUUCAGUAUUCGAGGUAUUUUCAGCACAUUGUGUUUGAUUGUUGAACGGUCUGAACGAUCGUCAGAAGACUGAGGAUUACCACAUAGCUCCUCUGUGAACCACAAUCAGAAAUUAAAUUGAUGUCACUGCAUUACCCAGACUGGUAAUAAUCAUUAAGUUGAUCGCCACAGAACAGGAGUACUAAUAACUCUGUGACUAGCGGUGACCCAGGUGUUCUGACAGUGAUCUGAGUCUGGAUACCAUCCUUUAUGUCUUUGUGUUUCUAAUGCAGUGCCUUGCAAAAGUAUUCAUACGCUUUGAACCAUUUCAGAUUUUCUUACAUUAAAACCACAAUCACAAAAGCAUUUAUGACAAGUUGAAUAUAAUGUUGUGAGUUGGAAGAUCUAAAAACUCUGACAUCUUUUUCUUCAGCUCCAGUGACUCUAUACCUUCAUCUUCAGUAACUACUUCAGGUCCUAUGGGCCAUGUCACUAUCUGCUGCGAACAUCCAGAGGGGAAACCUUUACUCAAUUUUCUUUUCAAACUAGCUCAAGCUUAGUCAGAUUUGAUGGGAUGAAAUUGAACGUCAUAUUCAGUCCUAUAUUAGAAAAUGUGUUCUGAUGUGUAUCUGUUGAAAAUAACAUUGGAGCUUUGAACAUACUUUUCAUUAAGUCCACAUUUCUGUAUUAAAAAUGUUUUUUCUAUUGGUCUAAAAUAUGUUUUAAUUAGUUGAAAUCACACAAAAAACCUGAAAAUUAAUAGAAAUAAAAGCUUGGGAACAUCAGCAUGUGUGUUAAUAAUCUACUUUCUUAGUUAAAGUUACUACUACGUACUAAAGUUUGCUACUGAAGAAAAUUAACUUAAAAAUGUUUUGAUUUAUUGGAUAUGGCUGCAUAAGUCUUGACACAGGUACAGUCUGUAUGUAUAUGUGCAUGCCACACUUCUCAGUUUUAUUUGCAAACAAUUUUAAAAGCCAUCCAUUGUUUUUCUUCUACUUCACAAUUGUGCAGUACUUUGUACAGAUUAAUCAUAUUAAACCUCGAUAAAAAUGCAUCGAAUGUUACAGUUCUGACAUGACAAAAUACGAGAAGCUUGAACGUGUACGUCUGCUUUUGCAAGGUAUUGUAAUGCAGCGAUGAGUUUGAUGAUGGUCAGGCUGGAUGCACGGUUCACUUUCAGACCACUUGAAACUUACUCAGGUCCAGACUUUAAAGUCUAAGAGCAAGAAAAUCCCCUGUGACCUCAGCCACCACUGACUGCAUGACUUGUCACAGCUUCAAACAAAGAAAUGUUUUUGUUUUGAACAUAGCCUGUCAGUGUGGUGGAUUGGUCUGUUUUCAAUAUAUGUCUCCCUCCUAAUCAGAAUCUGGAGAAAAAGGGUAAACGAGCAAAGAGACUCUGAGUUUUACUGUUGUUGAGAGUCUGUGAAUCAUCAACUGUUGAAAACAUUCCCGCUGCACUAAGUAUUGAUGUCAAAUGCAGGUUGGAGGUGACAGAAGCUCUCUCUGUAAAGGGCAACAUGUAGAUAAUAUUUCUAUAUUUUUUUUGGUUGCUAUAGCCAGAGGAAAACAAGCUUCCCUCCCUAUUUAUGUAGCACCUAAUACAACUGGGAUUGUUUUCGGUGCAUGCAACCAUUGCAUUGAUUUGACUUUUUUCAAGCCUACGUAUUGCGUGUUUUGACUGUAGUGCUGCUUUUUAGGAAUCGCUUUGUAAUGCAUUACAGCACAUGCUUACAAUGGAAUUUAAAGGUCACUUUCAGAAGUGAUUUAUUCGUCCAACAAAGAAAAGCAGUUUGAUACUUAGAUAUUAGACCUGUCACUGCAGCGUAAUGGCCUUGUGUUGUUUCUUCUGCCUGAGUUUUAAUAGAGGAUUUGAAGCUUCUUUCAGUGAACAAAGAUGGGAUGUAAAAGCAAGGAGAAUAGUAGUCACUCUUAUUUUUCUAUCAGCUUAUGGAAGAACAAAGAAGAAAUAUCCUGUUCUGUCACAGUUCCAGGGAAACGUUUACAUACACUCAUCAUUGCCAUCUUUUCCCCUUUUUAAGUCUAUAUUUAAGCUGGCUUGAUCAAACUGAAUUAACGGUACACGCGUGAACAAAUUUACUGUUUAUUGUGGAUUUUAUUAGAUCCAAAUAUUGACAGGUUCAAAAGUGUUCAUUUGAUCUCAUAAAUAUUUGGUCAUAUUUCAGUUAGAAUAUUGCACUUCGAGGAGAUCCUCUUUCUAGCCACCAACAAACUUCUUGCGUAAUUCUCCUUUGAUGUUGGGCGUUUGAUUGUCACAGAAUUUUUGGAUCAGCUUGAAAAACAGUCAAAUAGACUGAAUAAAAUGGACUGUUCGUCUGUUUUAUCCACCUCAAGGCCAGUUUUGAUACAUAUUUGGUAUCAUUUUUAUGUUGGAAAAUCUCGUUGCGUCCAUGUUUCAAAAAUCUAGCUAUUUUACUGAGAUGAAGGUGAAAAAUUGCAGGGCAGUCUUCUUCACUAUUUGCACUGGGGUUUUUUUUCUUCUUUUAUGUUUUGCAUGUUUGUCACACUUCAGACCAAUUUAAAUAUAGUCAAAGACAACACAAGUAGGCUUUAACACAAAAUGCAGUUUUUAAUGGAGAAAAAAAAUGCAAACCUACGUGGUCCUGUGUGAAAAAGGUUGUUAUUUUUUUCUCCGUCAAUUCUAACGCCGAGACUGUGUGAAGUUUGAGACCUUAACAUUAACUCCUCCAAAUGUUCACACCACUGUAACUAAAAUAGCUCAGUCUUUGUCUCCUCAGACCACAAAACUUCAGAAGAUGUUAUAGAACAGCAUUGUCUUUCUUGGUCGACAUCUAUUCAUUGAAUAGUAAUGUAAAACUCCCUUUAAUGAAACUGGUGCUCCUGUAAUUUUCAGUUUCAGUUCAGUAAUAUUCUAUUAUUAGCUAGAUAAAGCCUGUUGUCAAGAUGCAACUUGUUAAGGAAUAUUUGACUGUGUGCAUGUUAUUAAGCCCGUGUCUAUAAUUUUGACAAUUUUCAGACAAGAAAAAUAAAACCAAAAGUUGUUCGCAUAUUUAUUUUUUAUAAGGUAUAAUAGUGUGUUCAUAAUCAGCAGUGGUUCUUGCAUGAAUGCUGCACUUCGCACCCACGUGCCCACAACAAUUUUAGUUUAUCAGAAAAACAAAGAUUAAAUAGUUAAUCUAUUUGACACUAGUUUGGUACUUUACAUGUGACACAACUAAAUCAGUAAGUACAUUAGAGAUGAUUAAAUAUGUGUCAGAUUCUUUACAAAAAAACCUGUGAAAUUUCUCUGUAACUUAGUACUAACUUCGAGAGUCAUUGGUCAGCAGUGUGACAACCAUAUUUUAUCGUAGUGCUUCUAUGAUGUGAUGAUGUGAAACAUCAGGGGAUGCUCCUUACAUUACUCACAUAGAAUUGGGGGGAAAAGGGAAGUUGUUUGAAGUGCAGCUGACAAUAUUUUCUUUUCCUCUUUUUAAUGUUAACGUUGCCUGCCUUCAGGUCACACCGUCUAGGUGGGAACAAACGAUUUAAGACAUUGAUGCUAAGAUGAGUGUAUGUAAACUUAAAGACUGGAUCUGAAUUUUGGUUUUAAUGGUGUGAAAUAAGUAAAAAAAAAAAAAAUGUUUCUUCAUUUUCUUCUUUUUUCCCCUUUUACAAUGAGCAGCGUUAACUACUCUGAACCUCUUUUGGAAAGUUUUCCGUCUGAGACGUGGGAGAGUUCCAAUUUUUUUAUGCAAUUGUGCCGUAAGAUUAACAACCGUAGAGUGUGAGCUUGAAAUGAGAUAGUUUAUCUACGAAAAAAAGCAGUGUGUGUUCUUUGACAACAGCAGCAGGUGAAACUUGUGUUUUGAAAAGAAGAGUUUUGUAUUUAUAGUGUUUAUCUGCACUGAGCCAAGAGUGGUAAUGUUUCUUAUUCUAUUAAUGAGAAUUAUAAUAUGCAGGCACUGGAAUAAAAUCAUUUGAAGAGU